AAGGGUGCAAAGUGUAAUUUCAUGGGAUUGCAUCAAUUCACUUUUCCUAAAGUAACUAAGAUUGGGAAAUUUUUGAAAAACAUGUAGUUACUUUGUAUUUCAUAUUAUACUUUUAAUGAGGGGAUGAGGUUGCCCUAUCCUACCCGUUCGGCUAACGACCCUCCACCGAUCAAGCAAGCGGUGGGUGUGAGUGUACACCCAUUAAGUGCCAUUUUAUAGGCAGCAACCUUAUACCCACCUUAUAGACCGGCUUCGUGAAUAAGGCCUACUAACGGUAAGACUAGCAUUUUAAUUAUACACACACACACACACACACACACACACAUAUAUAUAUAUAUAUAUACAUAUAUAUAUUAGUCUUGUAAUAUUAUAUUAGUAUAGGGUUGAAUUUUAAACUUGUAAAAUUCUAGGGUUUGAAAUUUAAAUUGUCUAAAUUAAGCUUUAAAUCACAAAACAUAAAUUUCAAAACUUGAGGACAAGUUUAAAACUUUUCAAAACAAAAGGGGAUCAAAUUACAAAUAAUCUAAAUUAACAUUUAAUCACAUAAUUAUCCAUAUUUGAUUUAUUUAAUAAUUUCUUGCAAAACAAUUUACCAAUUUAAUCAAAAUAAUUAAUCAAUUAUCACAUAAGGAAAUAAAUAUUUUAUUAAUUGAUAAAUAUCUUCAAUUAGAUCAAGAAUAUACUCAUAUAUAUCAUAAAAUCGGAUUUAUAUUGAUCUAAUAUGAUAAAGGCAAGUAUCUCAAAGAUAAACAGCAAGAAAUCCCGAUAUUUGCUCUUUUUGACGCUUGGACUCGCCGAGUACCCCAAUGGACUGGCCGAGUCGAGCCUACUCGCCGAGUCCACUAUUGGACUCGCCGAGUCCAUCAGACAGAAACAUAAAAUUCCAAUUUAACAAGCAUCAAACAAGCAAACAAUGCAUCAAUUCAAUAGAAACCAAUCUAGGAUCUGAUACCACUGAUGGGUUUUAGCCAUAUGAACAUUCCUAUGUGCACAUGCAAACCCUAAUGCUUGGAUCUAGGUUUCUCUAAUUGAACAUACAUUGAAUCCAAGACGUCUAUUGGCUAAUAGAGUAUAAUAACAAUAUGAAAUCAGAUUUAGAAGUUUACCUUGAAUCAUUUGCUUGAUCUUCUUGUCCUUGGAGCUUUAGAGUCACAAUUGUCACUCCUCUAAUGGCUUACAAAAACCAACUAGCAAGAGGAUGAUUUGAGAGAGAGGAGAGAGGAUCAAAAUCGGCCAGGGUUUCCUUCUAAAGCACAAGUGCCGAUUUCCCUUGACUCCUAGGGUCUAUUUAUACUAAUAAGGCUCCUAAGGUUUCACCCUUAAACCCUAAUUAGAUAACUUAGGCCGUAAGCAAUCCAAUACCCUAAUUGAUAAGCCUUGGACGAAUUUUAAGCCUAUCCUAAGCCAUAGAAAUCGUCCCCCCUUAUCCUUAAGGGAUUUAUAGCCCAAAGUACAACUAUUAAUCAAUUGACAGUUUAUGCCCUUCUAUUUAAUUAAUCUCCUUAAGUCACCAAAUUAAUUCCUAAUUAAUUUAUGAUUUAUAUUAAUCAAAUAAUAAUAUUAUUAUUCCUUAUAUUAUUCUCAUAAUAUAUUAACAAUAUUUCUUCUCUCAUAAUAAAUCAUCCUGUCAAGUUGCUAUGGUGAAGGCAACCCAAAAGGACCAUGCACAAUCGGGUCAAAUACUUUUCUAAUAUAGUUUCAGCCUUACACACUAUUCCAACAGGUAGUUCUCUAAACGACAUAGCGUAUCUAAAAAUCAGUAAGAGGUUGCAAACAUCUCAAAGUCGGCGAGAGAGUUAUGUUGACAGACGUUUAUUUGAGUUGGUGCCCCGAUAUAUUGGAUCGGUUUGAGUAUUAGCCAGGGUAGGCAAGGUAGCCUAUCGAUUGGAUUUUCCAGAGGAGCUUAGUCACAUUCGCAACACCUUCCACAUUUCCCAGCAUCAGAAGUGUGUGACUGAAGAUUCAACAGUUUUUCCUUUAAAUUAUAUUCAGGUUGAUGAUCGCCUGAACUAUUUUGAUAGACCAGUGGCUAUUCCGGAUAGGAAGAUGAAGGCCUUAUGCAAGAAGGUGGUAUCAUUGGUCAAGGUUCAAUGGCAGCAUCGGAAGGGUUCCAAAUGGACUUGGCAACCCGAGGCGAAGAUGAAAGGGCACUUCCCAGAGUUGUUCGUAGCAUUGGACUUCGAGGACGAAUUUGGGUUCAUGUGAGGGGGAAUUGAAACAUUCAUUAUUCAUUUAAUUAACAUUUUUGACCCUGAGUGUGAAAUUUAAUUGCAAAAAUGGUCCCAUAGCUCCAUAUGUAAGAAACACAUGACUUGUACAUACAUAGGGCAUAUCCUUUGGUAUGGGGGGCGUAUGUGGAAAAAUUAAAAAUCCUAAUUUUUAGGGCAUGAACUCUAACCCCCUAAGAUCCUUUCCCUUAUCAGCCUCCAUCUCUCAUUUCGUCCUUAGCAAACCCUAAUCCUUUUGUGACCCUUUGUGAGCUUGAGUGUGCAUUCUUGGUGUUUUUGAACGAAGUAGAGGGAAGGGAAAUCAUCGUGGGCGCUCCAGGAAUCUUGGAUCCAAAAGUGUUUCACCCUCAAGCAUCCUUUGAAGGUAUAAAAGCAUGGUUUGAAGGUAUAAAUUUUGAAACUUGAUCAUUUAUUUGCUUAGAUCUUGUUACCCUUGAAUUUGUGUUCAUUUUGGUCCCAUAAGCUUGGUGUUCAUAAGUAUGGAUUACUCUAACCAGAAGAGUUGUUCUUUCAAAAUUUUGUAGGUAUGUGGAACAAUAAAAAUGUGAUCUUCGUCAUUCUAUCGUGUGGGUUAGUCUCUUCGUGAUGAUUGUAGCAAUAUGAAUUNUAUAUAUAUAUAUACACAUUGUUCAUUUUCUGUAUAUUGAUCACGAGAGGAUAUGGUUUUGGAUCUGGAGAUGGCCAGAAUAGGCCAUGAUUGACUGAUGAUCAUAUACAUGAGUUGAUUGCCACCAAGGUGGCUACUGUUGUCCGAAGUUCUAUUGCAGAGUAGUUUGGGUCUAUCAAGACUGCUAUGAUUGAGCUAUUCGAUGAUCACUAUCGUGCCUUCACUGAGACUGCUACUAGUGUAGCUACCACAACCGUCGUUGUUGCGGAAGGCCGGGGAGGAGGUUCAUUCCAGUAUUGGGACAUCAGUAACAUGAAGCCCCUAUAGUUCGACGGGGUCAAGGAACCGAUAGUUGUUAUGAGAUCGAUUUAGGAUGUUGAGGGAUGUUUCUUCACCUGCACGAAGGAUUGGUGGAACGUGUUGACCAAUUCCUAUAAUCCAAUGCAGAGGACUACUGUUACCUUGGAGCAAUUCUCGAAGAUGGUUCGCAUGAGAUUUGUUCCCCUGGUGGAGAAGGAUAGAUUGGCUCAGGAGUACCUCGAUCUAAGACAGACCAUUGUGAAGGUGAUGGAGAUUACCAAGAUGUUUACUGAGAGGGGUCAAUUCUGUCCCGAGUUUGUUGCUUCGGAUAAGGCUCAGAUGACGGGAUACAUGAGCAUGCUCAAGAGAGAUAUCUAACAGUUUGUGUCUACCGAGUGUUACAGUACCCUCAACGAGCUUCAAGAUGCCAUGAGGAUGCGAGAGAUUGAGACAGAGACCCAGACGAGGGAGCAGCAUCAGGCCCUGGUUCACUCCCAGACUGCGCCCAAGCAUUUCAAGUUUGUUGAGACACGAUGUGAGGGAUAGAGGGGUCGCACUUGUGGAAAGUAUGAGAGAGCUCAUGAGCGGAUGUGUCGAUCAUCGACAACAUGUCAAAAUUACGGUAGAGAGGGAAACUUUGUGAAGAAUUGUCGCUAUUAGGCUCUACUUCUGAGCACCAGGAUUUGUUAUCAUUGUGAGCAGGUAGGCCAUGUGAAGGCCCAAUGUCACUUGCUUGCUGCCACACUCGUGUAUGCACGAACUACUUAUAACCUUCAUAUCACGGAUGGACGAUGGGGGUAGGGUGGAGCCUCCAAUGGCUCGAGUUCGUGCACUCCAACUCACAUUAGAGGAGGCCAAGGUGGCGUCGGCUGUCAUAACUGGUAUGUUUUAAUUUAUUAUUCUACCAAUUAUUUUAUUGCAUGCUUAUGUUUAUGAUUUUGUCCGGUACCUUCAUAGUGAUUUCCUUGCCUGCUCUUGUGGUUUUCGACUCGGGUGCUAGUUGGUCCUUUAUAUUUCAGUCCUGCAGUAGGAGUUUUGAUAUGUCUCUAGGAGAGUUGGAGUGCCCGUUGCCAAUUUCUAUCGCCAAAGAGCAUGGGGUUUCUACGUCGAGUGUUUUACAGGGUUGCAUUUUGGAGAUUUUCGUGGUUGCUUACCUGAUUGAUUUGAUCCCUAUUCCCAUGGGGGAUGUACGCUUGAUAGUACAAAUGUAUUGGCUCAGAAGGUUUGGUACGAUUAUUGAUUGUGAGGGUUGGGUCAGCAGUUUGUAGUUCGACCCCAAAUGCAGAUUACUGAGUAUUUAUAGAGAAGGCAUGAGGAUCGGGCCAACCUUUAGUUUUGCAGCCAACUCUCGAUAUUGUUUGCAACAUGGGUGUAUGGGUUACCUCGUGUAUGUGUUGGACACUCAGGUCGGAAAGGAGUUUCAGUUUUAGAUGUACUUAUAGUCAAAGAGUUCCCAUAUGUGUUUUCGGAGAAAUUCCCGAUGUGCCUCUUGAGAGGCAGGUUUAGUUUAGGAUUGAUUUGAUCUGUGGUGUGGCCCCGAUUUUUAAGGCGCCAUAACGAUUGGCACCACCAGAGAUGCAAGAGUUGUCCUCUCAGCUUCAGGUGCUAUUGGGCCAACAGUUUAUCAGACUUAGUAGUUCACCUUGCGGAGCACCGAUUAUGUUUGUCAAGAAAAAGGAUGGGUCUCACUAUAUAAGUAUUUAUUAUUGGGAGUUGAACGAGUUAACGGCAAAGAAUUGGUACCCAAUUCCUUAGAUUGAUGACCUCUUCGACCAGUUGCAGGGCGCAUCUUGGUUCUCCAAGAUCGAUUUAAGGUAACGGUAUCAUCAGAUGAUGGUUAGAGUGGAGGACGUGGAAAAGACAGUGUUCCAGACUCGUUGUGGUCAUUACUAGUUCGUGGUGAUGUCGUUUGGGAUCACCAAUGCAUCUGUGGAAUUUAUGGAUUUGAUGAAUUGAGUGCAUAGACCGAUGCUCGAUCGAUCAAUUAUUGUGUUUAUCGAUGAUAUCCUUGUCUAUUCCAAGACCAUGGAGCAGCAUGAGGAGCACCUUCAAGAGCUUCUGGGAGUUUUGAGAACGACUAUAGGCGAAGUUCUCGAAGUGUGAGUUUUUGUUAUGGAGGUCGAAUUCUUAAUACACCUCGUUAGCCAGAACAAGAUUCUGGUCGAUCCCCCAAAAUUGAGGUUGUUAUGAAGUGGGAGGUUCGGAAGUCUCCCUCAGAGAUCAAGAGUUUUCUAGGUUUAGUAGGGUAUUAGUGGAGAUUUAUUCAGGAUUUGUUCUAGGUUGUUGUAUCCCUCACUUGGCUGGCGAGGAAGGUCAUGGAUUUUCACCGGGGUCCUAAGCUCCAUGUUGCAUUCAAGACAUAGAGGCAGAAGUUAUAUGAGGCCCCAGCAUUGACCCUCCAUGAGGGUGUUGAGGAUUUUGUUCUAUAUUUUGGUGCAUCGAUCACCGGUCUGGGUGAUGUUCUUAUGCAUCAAGGGAGGGUUAUUGUUUAUGCUUCUACAUAGAUGAAGCCGCAUGAGGAUCAGUAUCCGACACAUGAUUUGGAGUUGGGGCGGUGGGGUUUUCCCUUAAGAUUUGGCGAUACCCAUGGUCGUGGAUUAUUGACCCAAUGUGGUCGAUUUUGGGUACUAGUGUUUGGUAGUAUCAUGUAGACUUUGUUGGAGGAGGCACAUAAGUCCAUGUUUUCGAUACAUCUGGGAACCACCAAGAUGUAUCGAAAUUUGAGACUUAGUUAGUGAUGGUCAUGUCUGAAGAGGGAGAUAACCAGGUCUAUUGAGAGGUACUUGACCUGUCGGAUGGUUAAGGCCGAGCAUCUGAGGUCGUAUGGCAAGCUUCAGCCUUUGGAGAUUCCCAUAUUGAAAUGGGAAUAUAUCACCAUGGAUCUCAUCACCAAGCUACCUUCGACGGCUAUUAGAUUUGAUGUGAUGUGGGUUAUAAUGGACCACCUGACAAAGAGUGCCCACAUUCUAGCUAUUUAGGAGAGCUCCUCGGCCAAGAAAUUGGCAGAAGUUUAUUUGUGCGAGAUCGUCGAUCGACAUUGUGUUCCAGUUUUCAUUUUAUCCGAUCGAGUCGUUCGGUUUAUUUCUUGAUUUUGGCAGAGGUUCCACGAGGAACUAAGUACGAGGUUGCAUUUUAGUACUGCUUAUCAUCCCCAGACUAACGGCCAGGGCGAGACGACGAUACUGAUGCUCAAGUUUAUAUUGAGAGCCUGUGUUAUAGAUCUUAGAGGGUGUUGGGAUUCCUACCUUACUCUGGAUGUGUUUUCUUACAACAACAACUGUCACCCCAGUAUCGAUGUGCCGUCAUUUGAGCUUCUUUAUGGGAGGAUAUGUCGUACCCCAGUCUGUUAGCGAGUGGUCGAUCACCAUGUCAUGGGAAGGACUGAGGUAGUUCUCAAGAUGACAUAGCUUAUAUGACAGAUCAGGAAGAAGUUGCAGACAACUCACAGUCGACAACAAAGUUAUGCUAACAAAUGUCGAUCUGAGUUGGGCCCCGAUAUAUUGGACCGUUAGGAGUAUUAACCAGGGUAGGAAGGGUAGCCUAUCGCUUUGAUUUUCCAGAGGAGCUUAGUCAGAUUCGUAAGACCUUCCACGUUUCCAGCUUCGGAAGUGUUUGGCUGACAAUGCAGCACUUUUUGCUUUGGAUUAUAUUUAGUUUGAUGAUCGCCUAAAUUAUGUUGAGAGACCAGUGGCAGUUCUGGAUAAGAAGAUGAAGGCCUUGCGCAAGAAGAUGAUAUCAUUUGUUAAGGUUUAGGUUCAACAUCGGAAGGGUUCCAAAUCGACUUGGGAAUCCGAGGCAGAUAUAUGAGAGCACUACCCUGAGUUGUUUAUAGCAUCGGACUUCAAGGAUGAAAUAUAAAUCAAGUGGGGGAUAACUGUAACAAUCAUAUGUAAGAAACGCAUGACUUGUGGGUACGCGGGGCAUACCUUUUGGUACGGUGGGAGACCCUCCAUCUCUCAUUUCGUCCUUAGAAAACCCUAAUCCUUGUCUGAUCCUUUUUGCACUUGAGAGUGCGUUCUUGGUGAUUUUGAAGGAAGUGGAGGGAAAGGAAAUCAUCUUGGGAGCUCAAGGCAGCUUGGAUCCAAAAGUGUUUCACCCUCAAGCAUACUUUGAAGGUAUAAAGUUUGAAACUUGAUGAUUUAUUUUCUUAGAUCUUUUUACCCUUGAGUUUGUGUUCAUUUUGGUCCCAUAAGCUUGGUGUUAAUGAGGAUGGAUUACUCUAACCAAAAGAGAGAUCCUUUCAUACGAUUUUAGGUGUUAAGAACCAUAAAAAUGUGAUCUUGGUCCUUCUAUCCCUUCCAUGGAAGAGUUAACGUCUUAAUGGAUUAAUAAGUUUGGGUUUUAACUUUUCGACCUUUUCUAGGCAUGGAAAGUCAUAAAGGUGGAAACUUUAUGACUUAAGACAAUGUUUGGAGUCUAGAUCUGAGUUUGGAUGGAAAACCCUUAUGGAUUAAUAACUUCAUGAGAAGGAAUGGACUCAGACGACAUACGUUGGGCGUACCAAGUAGUACGACGCGCGUAUGGGGUUUGUGUACUGUAUUUUUCGCUGAUGUCUCGAAUAUGCUCGACGUAAUGGAUGAGUACGUUGGGCGUACUUAAUCAACUUUGAAUUUCUUUGACCAAGGGUUGACUAAGGUUGACUUAGGUAUAUUUUUGUUAUGUUGAGUUGUAGUUUGAGUUUAGAUAACUGUUUGUUGCAUAGGUGACCUAUAGAGUUGACUUUUGGUGCAACGUUCUUUUUUGCUAUAUUUUCAGACUGUGAGGUGAGUAUCCCUUACUAUACUUGUGGGUCGAAGGAACCAAUGCCGUCCUAGUAGAUUAUGUAUCAUGGCUUAGGAUAUUGCUAUCCUUUCAACAUAGUUUGGUUUAUGUUGAGGCUAUACUGCUUUGUGUUGUCGGCCAACUAACCCGGUCGCAAUCCAACCGGGAGGUUGUAUGCCAGAGUGGCAAUUCAAUCGGGAGAUUGUGGGUCAGUGGCAAUCCAAUCAAGAGAUUGUGGGCCAAAUUGGUAAUCUAACCUGAAAGUUGUAGGCCAGGGUACAGUUGCAAGAUUCUGGACCCAUCAUGCAUUUUGUAUAUUGUGUGGUCGUGCGGUGUAUGUGGGUGGACUCAAUAAGAUAUGACUUAUAAUUUAAGUUUUAUGUUUGACGUAUUUCAGUUGAUCGGGGUAAGGCGAAUGCUUGAUCGUGCAUAUCUUUUGGUUUUUAUGAGAUUCGAUUUUGGGAUUCUCUUAUUUGUGAUUUUGGACUUUGGAAACUAGGGAAAUUGUCAGAAAAAUCACAAUAUUUUCGUAAAAGUUCUACUUUAGUCCAAUUUUUUUUUAUAAGUAUAAGAGUCCCGAUUAUUUCAGUUUGGCUCAAAUUAACAAAAAAUCUUUUUUUCUCUUAAUUUCUUUUAAUAAAAAAUGACAUUGUAGUGUAAAAUCAAAUAAUUGAUACUUUUAUGUUAAAAAAGUAAAACUAAAGUGAAACCUUUUCAAAAUAUUGUAUUGUAGUGGUAUCAAACCAUAAGAAUUAGAUUGCUGCUUAGUGAGUUCAACACCAUGUUAUUGUUAAGAUUGCUUCUUAGUGAAUUCAACACCAUGUUAUUGUUAAUGCACCGACUUGGUGGUCCUUUAGAAAGUUCGUUCAUUCCUAACUUUUCAUAUGCACCAGCAUGAUAAGGUUUGUGUCGUUUUUCAAAAUAACAUUAAUUACACAUAUUUACAUAUAUAAAUACACAUAUUGACAUAUAUAAAAGCAGAACAGUAUAAAUUUCGGGAAAUAGAAUUUUUACAUUUAAAUACAAAAUAAAUAAACUACUAAUAAACCAAAAGUAGCGUAGUAGUACACCACAAUACAGAUAAUUGUUAACAUCUAUUCUAAUAACAUCUACCCUAAUAAUGAAAAACAUUUUUAUUAAAUAUCGUAUUCUCAUUACACUUCAGGCAUACUAAGAAUUUUUGUUUUUUUUUUUCCUAUUGAUCAUUAUACGGUUCUUUCUAUGUUAUUAAAAUUUAUAGUUAAAUAUAAUAAUUUUGAUAUAAGUAAUAAUAAUAAAUAUAUAUCAAUUUAAGUAAUACAGUCAUUUUCAAUUUUUAAGUUUCUAAACUUAAUCCAAUAAAAAAAUAAAUGAAAAAAGUUUAAGAUAACAAAUUAGCUAUUACAUUUUAAUAAUUCAAUAUUUUUUAUUGUUUUUUUUAUAUAUUCAAAUUUCCUAAAUUUGUAAAUUAAUCUUCAAAUUCUUUUAAUAAACUCAUAAUAAACGGGUCUGGCAACUAUUAAUUUUAAAUUAACGUACCUAGUUUCCUAUUAUUACAAACGUUUUCGUGAUAAUUUCAAAAACCUUUUAUAUUAUGCAAGUAUACCAAUGCUUGAUAAAUAUGUUAAGCUCGACUUUUUCUAAGUAAUUGUGUUAAUUAUUACAAAAUAUAGUAUUUUGGAUGCGUUUUCAUAUAGAUUAAUAUUAGUUUAUCAAAAAAUUUACUACUAAAAAAAAUGAAUAACAAUAACUAUGAACUCUCAUAAAGGCAUUUAAAAUCCUAACGACACAUCACAAAAAUAUCGAACAUUAUAUUUAUAAGAUAAAAGCAUGGCGGUUAUGUUAUAAUCGUAACAUGGGCAGCUGAAAAAGCAACGUUAUAUUUUACCUUGUUCAGAUAUAUGUCAUGCUACAUGCCGAACCAUACAUAGGCUACGUUGUGACUAUAUCUGUGAUUUGUUCCUAUCAGAUAAUGAAAGAACUUAAAAAGACAACGAAUUCCACGUAGAAGUACAAUUGAUGAAAUUAAAAGGGCAACCACUGCCACAUACAAAUACACUUGAUGAAACACGACUCAAACUAGACAACUCAAUCUAUUACUCAUAAUCACCACACUCAAUCCAAAUCUCCACACAAACACACCAAAAAAUCGAUCAAGACUGAAAACGCGACAUGAAGAUGUCAACAUUAACACCUUCUUUUGCAUAUGGAACAAUGCUCCCACUGCAGAAGUAGCACAAACUCAGCUCAUGCUUAAAGAUUAGUGCUCAAAGAUCUCAAAUUGAAGGUAAUAAGAACUUUUUAAUUGUAUAACGUGUGAGGAGUUUAUGGAGUUGUUAGAAUGAGCUUGAUACCAUAUAUAUAAUUAUUUUUAAUGCACGUACAGUAAUGUUGUUAAACGCACAUAGACAUUAAUGAACGAAUGCUCGGUUAUCUGCUAUCUGAUAUUCUUGGAAAACUUUCAGUCUUGACUUAAAUAUGAUGGUUCCAAACGAUAAGAUCGAGGUGAUGAGGACAAAAAAGACAUUGAAGGGAAACCGUAGACCAUACGGAUGGGAUUAUGCAUCGAAUUAUAUACACAAACCUAAAAAACACCCUGAGUAUCUACAAACAAUCCUCUUAAUUUUUGGCCCUAUGAAUUUUUCAAUCCUCUUUGGCUCCACUCUUAUUUGUAUUGUUUCCCUAGUUGUUCACCUCAUCCUAUGAAUGACCUCAACCAAAUAGAGCAUUACCCAAAACAAAUUCAAGGAAUGAAAGAGAGCAACAUUCGAGAAUGUUUCUUAUAAAAUCAUGUUAUCCUCUGAAUAAUAAGAUGUGAACUGAUUUGUAGUAAGUGAGAAGGGCAUGUUAAAUAAAUUCAUGUGCUUAUAGCUACAGUAGUUUUAUUAAAAAAAUUGUCUAUAUAUCUGGUUGUUACAUAAUACAUUAUACUAUAAAAUAUUUUCUUUAUAAAAGUUUGAAAUCUUCUACAAAUAGUCAUUACUAAAUUUGCCUACGUUAGGAAAGUCGUACUUUUGUAAAUCAAACAAUUAAAAAACUUGAAAAUAAUUAAGUUCAAGGGGUCUUGACAAAACAAAUAAUCUUUAAUUAUUUUGUUUGUAUCCAAUAUUCCAAAACAUUUUUUUACAUAGAAAUAAUAACCUCUUAGUCGUGCAUAUUGGAUUUUGUAAAAGCCAUCUACAAUCAAGGUUGCAAAGGAAAAAAAAAAUGAAAAAAAAAACAUUCAGUCAUUACUAGUCGGUCGAUUGGGAUCAACAAAUAAUCUACAUAGAUGAGGAGUGAUCGGUGACCCUAAAUUAUUAAACAAUUUAUUUAAAAAAUAUUACAAAUAUCCUAAAAAAAUGAUUAAAUAACCAUAAAAAUGAUAAUAUAGUGUUUUACCAUUUCAAUAACGAAUCAUCAUACAUUAAAUCUAUAAUCGGAUGGUAACAGAAACAAGUUGAAACGUCCAAAAAGUACUAAAUAAAAAAUUAGUUUUCAACAACUAAAACCAUUCAUUCAUCCAUCCGUGAGAUAAUCAGAGCAUAAAAGUAUACUCAAAACAUCAGUACAAGAUCAUAAGACAGAUAGUGCGAAAAAACUCUAAUGGAGGCAAUGCGAUCAAGUCAAUCCCUUCCCAUUGGAACUAAAAGUACCUGCAAUAUUUAAACAUUGAACCAUAACCACAAAGCUUACCGAAUCCCUUAAAAUACAACAUACCAAACAUAUCAGUAGGCCAAUCCCUAAGGGUUUAUUUCAACCCAUGCAAAUGCUAUGAUCCAACCAUAGUCUUACAUCCACUUAUGUUGCAAUAGCACAUUUGCAGUCUUUCAUGCAAUGAUCCAACCAUGGUCUUCGAUACAAGUGUUGUGAUUCAACCACCGUUUUUCAUAGUAUAGUGAGAAGAGUCACCUCACAAACGCAGUUGAAAGGACCAAAGCUUACACAGAAGGUAAAUUGGUGCUACACACAGCCCAAAGAAACGUUUAAGGUCAAACCCCAGUAUACCCUCCAAAACUAGGAACUAGUCAAAAGUCACUAGGUCAAAAAUCAAUUGUCAACAGUCACCACGUGGCCACAACAUGACAACUCAAAUAGUCGCGACCAAUUCUGCCACCAUGUCUUGGUAAGGAUGCCACAUGUAGCACUCUAAAUUUUCAAACAAAAUUUUCAUUUUUAAAACCACCCAAAACACAGUUUCAUAAUUCUCAAACCCAAGUUUAUAAGUUGUUCAAAACACAUGAUAAUAAAAUGUUUGACAAUAUCCCAGAAUCCUCAAAACAUAAUCUCAAACUGGUGUGUACAAUCAAGUCGGCACCUUCGUGUGGUCCUCAGAGGUACCUAAAACACAUUAUACACGCCACUGUAAGCAUGAAGCUUAGUGAGUUCCACAAAAUACCACAAACAAAUAAUUAGCUUCUCAUGGCUAUAUCUCGAUAAGGACCCUCCGGUCAUGUGUCUCAGUGAAGACCCUCGGUUCUCACAACUCGGGAUGGACCCUCCGGUCCUAACUCAAUAAGGCAUAGAAUAAUAUACAGCAUAAAUCACAAAGACAAAAUUAAUAAAUUCACAUAACUCAAUAUAAGCACAUAAGACCCUCAAGUCAAUAACUCAAAUAAGCCCUCCUGUCACACAGCAUUACCACUCAGGUAAGUAUAGUGAGAAGAAUCACCUCGUAUGUAAGCAAGUAGGUCUCGCACUCAACGAUCGGUCUAGAAUUUGCAUACAUAUCAUAAUCAUCUCUAAUUAACGCUUUAUAAUGACAACUCUAAAGAUGUUAAGCUAACCCCUUUUCUAACUCUCAGAAAGUGUGAAAGACCAUUUUACCCCUCCAUGGUCUCCAUAAUCCAUAACUUGACCAAACCCUAAAAGUCAACGGAAGUCAACACUUAAGUCAACAGUCCAUGUUAACCCAACUCGUCAAGUGCAUCUAUGCGACUCGGCGAAUUCCUUCCUUUCGCUGAAAUAUCGGGAAAAUCCAACUCAACUCGUCGAGUUGUCUCACAAACAUGCCAAGUUUGUAAUCUGUCUUGAGUAUUCAGGGAAAACCCUAACCAACUCAUCGAGUUGGCUCACCAACUCAUCGAGUCCCUUUAGUCAAUUCUCUCAUUUAGACGUUUUUAUGCAGAACUAAGGCCCCAUACUCUAGAUCUAGCAUUUUAAGGCUAAAAUAUCACGUAAAGCUGCAAGCUUUACAUUCAUGCAUGGCAUCAAGGGCUAAUUUUGCCAACCCAAAGCUCAAUAGAGGGUUUAAGACAUGAAAGUUGGCCAAAGCUUAAUAAAGCUUCAAUCUUUUGGCCUAAGGGACCUCAUAUUGUCCAAAUCAGAAGUCUCAUAUUUAAGGCGUGCUCAAACAACUAAAGGACUAAAAGAGAAUAUGGAAAUGGCCAUAAACUCCCUAGUGAAGAGAUCUAACAUACAAUGGUCAAGGUGAUAGCACUUUACCUCCAAAUGGCAGCUAACACUAAAAGAAAACUUGAUCCAUGGGCUCCUUCUUAUUCCAAGCCUUUUUCUCCUCAAACUCCUUUCAAGAAUGCACUAAAACAUACAAUCUUAGCCUAUCACUCUCUCACAGAUGAUAAUAGCUCGAUUAGGGUUUCUCUCAUCAUGUUAAGGUCUCACACCCCAAAACCGGAACGACGGAAACAUUCCGGGGCGGAGGACGUCAUGUUUGAUGGGUUUGAGCCAUAAGAACUUUCCUAUGUGCGCAUACAAACCCUAAUGCUUGGAUCUAGGUUUCUCUAAUUGAACAUGCAAUGUAUCCAAGGCUUACAAUUCUAGAUCUAGUGUAAACAACUGAAUAAUAUCAUAUAAAAUAGAUCAAGAAGAAUACCUUAAGUUGCUAGCUUGAAACUUCUUGUUCUUGGACCUUAGAGUCACAAUUGUCACUCCUCUAAUGGCUUACAAACACCAACUAGCAAGAGGAUGAUAUUGAGAGAGAGUGGUGAGGGUGAGAAAUCGGCCCUAGGGUUCAUGCCUUGCAUGAAUGCCGAUUUCCCUCGCCCAAGGGUUCUAUUUAUAUUAUGAGCUAUUAGGGUUUCACCUUUAACCCUAAUUGAAUAACUUAGGCCCUAAGCAAUCCAAAGAUCCUCCUAGAUAUGAGGGUUGGACGAUUUUAAGAUAUCCAAACCCUAAAAAUCGUCCACCCUUAAGGAUUCAUAGCCCAAAACACAAGUAUCACACAUUUGACAGUUUAUGCCCCUUUAUUCAAUUAAUCUCUUUAAGUCACCAAAUUAAUUCUUAAUUAAUAUAUGACUUAUAUUAAACAAAUAAUAUUAGUAUUCCUUUAAUAUUUUAUUCACAUAAUAUAUUAACAAUAAUAUCUCUUCUCUCUUUACAAAUCAUCCUGUCAAGUUGCUAUGGUGAAGGCAACCCAAAAGGACCAUGCACAACUGGGUCAAGUACUUACCAAAUAUAGUUACAACCUUAGACACUAAUCCGACAGUCUCCCACUUGGAUAAGUCUAGUAACUAUAUAUGCAAAUACAAUCCGAUUAGCAAUCGUAGCUCUCAAAGACGCUGUCAAACUCUGAUCAUAUCAAUAUCAUGUCCUUUAGAUAAGGGAUCGUACAGUCCUCUGUUUAGAUAUUGUGUGGACAAUCUCAUGGAACUUAUUGUCCAGCAGUUGGUUUCUCGACCUCAGAUUCAUUUGACAUAGAACUUAAUUAAACACAUCAAUUCAGUCCUGACCGGGCCGGACACAUAAGACAAAUCAAAUCAUCGAGGGGCCCUGAUAUCGCUUUUAUCCUCAUAGGAUAAAAGUAACAGAUAAACUUCAACUUAUAUGCAUUUACUAUUUACUAAUCAAUUAUACACAACAAUGUGUUCUAUGACACCAAUUUACUGAUGCGGUUUCGUAUUGUCAAUGCACAACCAAUUAAUAAACAAUAAACCAUAUAUCUUGGUUUUAAGACUAUAUGAUAUUAUCGUCUUGCGAUCACUUGCGUUACGUUCCAUAAAGUGAUUCUAGCAAGCGCGGGUUUAUUCCAAUGCUCAAAACUUGUUUAUAAGCACUCAUGAACGUUACAGCAAACCUUUGCUAUGUCUAAUACCUUUUAGGCAAUCUACACACCAAUUCAUGACAAUCUUCAUUCAUACCUACUUCCAACAUAUGAACGAUUGUGGACCAUUCGAAUAAUUCGAUUAUUCUUAAUAACUCAAUUAUUCAGGAAGUCAAAACAUGCAAAGUGAAACAAUAGUUAAACAAUUAACAUAAGAUAGUAGCUUUACUUAUAAAUAAUACUCCUUUUAUUUAAUCAUCAAAUGUCAAUCACAUUUAUCUAUUACAUGUUUCCAAACUAUCUAAUCUAAACUAAUGUCGUCUUUCAGCCCAAUGCUCCUAGUGUGCUGCAAAUGCUUAACCCUACUCAGUCCCUUCGAAAGCGGAUCUGCUGGGUUAUCCUCUGACGAUACCCUUUUUACUACGAGGUGUCCUUCUUCUACUCGAUGUCAAAUAAAGUGAUACUUUCUGUCGAUAUGCCGAGAUCUACCAUGAUCCCUCGGUUCCUUGGUCAAGGCAACCGCUCCUUCAUUAUCACAAAAAAUUUCCAUAGGCUCCUUUAUGGCAGGCACAACUCCAAGGUCACCAAUGAAGUUCUUCAACCACAUCGCCUCCUUUGACGCUUCGCUCGCUGCAAUGUACUCUGAUUCGCACGUUGAAUCAGCUACGGUUUCUUGUUUGGAACUUUUCCAGGUCACUGCUCCUCCAUUAAGGGUAAAGACCCAGCCCGACCGUGAACGGUAGUUGUCCCUAUCGGUCUGGAAGCUAGCGUCACUAUACCCUUGCACCUUUAAGUCAUCACUCCCUCCGAGGACUAAAAACCAUUCAUUGGUCCUCCGAAGGUACUUAAGUAUAUUCUUGACCGCAAUCCAAUGAGCUCUGCCAGGGUUCCCUUGAUAUCUACUGACCAUGGUCAAAGCAAAGGCCACAUCACGGUGAGUACAAGUCAUAGCAUACAUUAUUGAGCCAACUGCAGAAGCUUAGGGUACUCGGCUCAUCUUAGCUAUCUCGGCUUCUGUACUCGGACUUUGAGUCUUACUCAAUUUGACAUUACUAUGUAUCGGUAGUUCUCCCUUCUUCGAGUUUUCCAUACUAAAACGUUUUAGUACCUUAUCCAAAUAAGUAUUCUGACUAAGUCCUAUUAGUCUCUUACUUCAUUCUCUCACUAUCCUUAUUCCCAAAAUAUAGGAAACCUCUCCGAGGUCCUUCAUAGCGAAGCACUUCCUGAGCCACGACUUAACCUCCUGCAGAGUCGGGAUGUUGUUUCCUAUGAGCAGUAUGUCAUCGACAUACAAAACGAGGAAGCUAACUAUACUCCCACUAGCCUUGACAUAUACACAUGAUUCAUCUUCACUUCGUACAAAUCCAAACUCUUUGACUUUCUCAUCGAAGUAAAGAUUCCAUCUACGAGAUGCUUGCUUAAGUCCAUAAAUGGACUUCUCAAGAUUGCACACUCUAUUAGGAUGCUUCGGAUCGACAAAAACUUCUGGCUGAGCCAUGUAAACAUCCUCAGCCAACUUCCCAUUAAGGAAAGCGGUCUUGACAUCCAUUUUCCAUAUCUCAUAAUCAUGAAAUCCAGCAGUGUCUAGCAUUACCCUAAUAGACUUUAUCUUAGCAACUGGCGAGAAGGUGUCAUCAUAGUCAGCUCCGGGAGUUUAAGUAAAGCCCUUCGCCACCAAUUGUGCCUUAUACGUGUGCACAUUCCCAUCCACGUCGGUCUUCUUCUUGAAGAUCCAUUUGCACCCAACCGUCUUACGUCCGGGCAUAUUUUCAACCAAAUUCCAAACUUGGUUGUCAUACAUGGACUGAAUCUCGCUGUCCAUCGCCUUUUUCCAUUUUGUAGACUCUAGGCCUACCAUGGCUUUUUUAUAGCUAUUAGGUUCAUCUAGAUUUAUUAGUGUAUCAUCACUAAUAUACGUGUCCCCCUUCGGUAGUAAUAUGAAAACCAUAAAACGGGGGUUGAACUCUAACUCUUUUGGAAUGUCUAAGAGGUAAGGACUCGUCAAUUGGUUUAACGGGGGUUUCCUCCUCGGGUUGAGUGCCAUCAUUAGAGGUUCCUUCAUCACUCGACUCUUGAACUUCUUCAAGAUUGAUUUGCCUCCCACUGUCCCCUUGGCUUAUGAGUUCUCGCUCUCAGAAAACUCAUAUCCUUGCAACGAAGACAACAUUGUCACUCGGCCUAUAGAAGAGAUAUCCAAAGGAUUUCUGCGGGUAGCCAAUGAAAAUACAUUGCUCACUACGAGGUUCGAGCUUGUCGUGAGUUUCUCGUCUUACGAAAACUUCACCGCCCCAAACCUUGAUAUGUGCCAACGAAGGAGGUUUCCCUGUCCAAAUCUCGUAAAGUGUUUUGGCAACCUUCUUUGUAGGGACUCGGUUAAGGAUAUGGGCGGCAAUCUCUAAGGCAUACCCCCAGAAUGAGAUAGGUAGUGAAGCACGAAUCAUCAUAGAAAGAACCAUGUCUAAUAGGGUUCGAUUACGCCUUUCUGCCAUACCAUUCAAUUGCGGUGUCCUAGGUGGCGUCAAUUGCGAAACUAUUCCGCAUUCCUUGAGAUAGUCGUGGAAUUCAAGACUUAUGUACUCUCCUCCUCGAUCAGAUCAAAGCAUCUUGAUUUUCCUGUCCAAUUGAUUCCCCACUUCAUGUUUGAACUCGUUGAAUUUUUCAAAUGUUUCUGACUUGCGCUUGAUUAAGUAAAUAUACCCAUAUCUACUAUAAUCAUCGGUGAAAGUCUCUUAGAAGCGGUUCCCAUCCUUUGUGGUGGAUCUAAAAGGCCCACACACAUCGGUGUGUAUGAGAUCCAAUAAACCCCACCCCUCUCACAAGUGCCAGUGAAGGGUGACUUGGUCAUCUUUCCAAGUAAACAAGAUUCGCACGUGUCAUCUUCCCUAAGGUCGAAUGACUCCAACACUCCAUCCUUUUGGAGUUGGGCUAUGCGCUUCUUGUUGACAUGUCCAAGACGACAAUGCCACAAGGAUGCUUUAUCCAUACUAUUGGAAGAAUCCAUACACAACACAUCAUUUCCUAGGUUAUCUACAACCAUAACAGUUUCAUAAAUUCCAUUACAAGGCAUUGCUUCAAAAUAUAAAACACCAUUUAGAUAAGCAUAAAUCGAACCAUUCUCAUUAUUAAACGAAUAUCUAAAUCCUUGUCUAAAUAAACCAUGAAAAGAAAUGAUGUUUCUUGCCAUAUCUGGCGAGUAGCAACAAUUAUUUAAAUCUAAAUUCAAUCCAUUACUAAGCACUAAAGAAUACACUCCAAUCUUGGUAACAGGCGACGAUCUUCUGUUCCCCAUGAUUAGAUUUAUUCUUCCAAGCUCCACAUCCCUAUUUCUUCCUAGUCCCUGCAAAUCAGAACAAAUGUGGUAACCACAUCCUGUAUCAAGAACCCAAGAAAUAGCAUGAGAUGAAUCAUUAGAUUUAAUUGUGUAAAUACCUGCGAAAGAUGGCUUGAUCUUCCCAUCCUUGAUGGCUUGCAGAUAUUCCGGGCAGCUUCUCUUCCAAUGCCCUAUUUUGUGGCAAUGGUGGCACUCUGCCUCCUUUGGGUUUGGGUUGGGCUUAGCAGGAUCAACCUUGGUCCCACUAGAAGAGGAACCAUCUUGGGACUUUCCCUUGCGGUGGUUCUUCGAAGAAGCCUUCCUCUUCUUGCCCCUUCCCUGCCCAAUAGCCAAAACAGGAGCAGCGGGUGGAUUGGGAGUUGGUGCAACAGACUUGUCCUUGAGGUUUCUCUCAGCAGUCCUUAGGAGCCCUUGGAGUUUGCUUAGGGUGACCUCUUCCUUGUUCAUGUGGUAGGUCAUCCUAAAUUGGUUGUAGCAUGAGGGCAAGGAGUGAAGAACAAUGUCGAUAGCCAAAUCUUCCCCAAAGUUGACAUUCAACUUGCGAAGACGAUCAACAUACCUUUGCAUCUUUUGCAAGUGCAUGGUUAGAGACUCUCCACAUCCCAUUUUAGCAGUGAUCAUAUUCGUUAUAAUUUCAUAUCGCUCUUGCCUCGUGCUUUGGUGGUAUCUCUCCAUCAAGUCUAGAUGCAUCUCAUAAGGAUACAUGUCCUCAUAGGACUUUUGGAAUUCGGAGUUCAUCGUGGCUAUCAUGAUGCAAUGGACUUUCGUUGCAUCACGUUCAUGGGUCUCAAAGACAGCCAUUUCUUCGAGAGUAGCAGUUUCAGGAUUGAUCUUCUCGAGCUUCUCAUCAAGAACAUAUUCUUUGUCCUCAUAACGCGCGAUCGUGCGAAUGUAUCUUAUCCAUUCGCUAAAGUUCGACCCAUCAAAAGUCACUUUUGACCAAAGGCUCAUUAGAGUGAAUGAGCUAGCAGCAGCGUUGUUCGCGUUAGCAUCUACAAAUAGAAAGGAAACAAAGUUUGAUUAGAGUUAAGUCCCUAAUUAGCACCCAAAAUAAAAAUUAGGGCUACGACCCAACAAUAUUAUUUACACAUUAGAAAAAGGAUGCCGUAAUCCAAUAUGCAAAUAAUUUGGAGGUAAGUGAAUGACGAUUCACUAAUUCUUCAUCAUGAAAAACAUAAGCUUAAGUUUUAAAUGGAUUGAGAAUUCCUAGAUUUCUUUGAGAUUCACUGAACUUUUCAAUGGCAUGUUUAAAUCUCGAUAUGCCCCUCUAGUUUGUGACUGGGAUACCGAGGAUCACAAAGCGGGUGUGAAUAACCAUGCAAAUCUACAUGGCGCCUUCAUUGUUACAGUCACCUAUUCGAUGUGCCGGUAAACCACACACGCUCCAUCGAACUAUGACUAACAGUGAAUCACCCUUUGCCACCUUUUCUUAGAACCAAUUAGUGUGUCGGUUAACCAUACGCGCUCCACUAACAUCUUAACAAGGGUUCAAAGUGUAAUUUUAUGGGAUUACAUCGAUUCACUUUUCCUAAAGUAACUAAGAUUGGGAAUUUUAUGAAACACGUUUAGUUACUUUAUAAAGAUUCAUUAUACUUAUUAAUGAGGAGAGGGUUGCCCUAUCCUACCCGUUCAGCUAACGACCCUUCACCAGUCAAGCAAGCGGUGGGUGUGAGUGUACACCCAUUAAGCGCCAUUUUAUAGGCAGCAACCUUAUACC
Molecule: long non-coding RNA, 19902 nt
Filed under: Lactuca sativa (garden lettuce)
Lineage: Eukaryota; Viridiplantae; Streptophyta; Magnoliopsida; Asterales; Asteraceae
Description: long non-coding RNA (LSAT_LNC004496)
Source: RNAcentral